RNAcentral lists this ribosomal RNA (454 nucleotides) under uncultured bacterium. Its description in RNAcentral is "partial 16S ribosomal RNA". It matches the Rfam family "Bacterial small subunit ribosomal RNA", at positions 28 to 507 of the family's 1533-position model. The record is from RNAcentral.
GAUGAACGCUGACAGAAUGCUUAACACAUGCAAGUCUACUUGAACUUCGGUUUGGGUGGCGGACGGGUGAGUAACGCGUAAAGAACUUGCCUCACAGAUAGGGACAACAUUUGGAAACGAAUGCUAAUACCUGAUAUUAUGAUUUUAGGGCAUCCUAGAAUUAUGAAAGCUAUAUGCACUGUGAGAGAGCUUUGCGUCCCAUUAGCUAGUUGGAGAGGUAACGGCUCUCCAAGGCGAUGAUGGGUAGCCGGCCUGAGAGGGUGAUCGGCCACAAGGGGACUGAGACACGGCCCUUACUCCUACGGGAGGCAGCAGUGGGGAAUAUUGGACAAUGGACCAAGAGUCUGAUCCAGCAAUUCUGUGUGCACGAUGAAGUUUUUCGGAAUGUAAAGUGCUUUCAGUUGGGAAGAAAAAAAUGACGGUACCAACAGAAGAAGUGACGGCUAAAUACGUG